UGCGGAGUAGCGUAGCGGUCAACGCGCCCGGCCUGGGACCGGGAGUUCGUGAGUUCGAGUCUCACCUCUGCAAC
Molecule: transfer RNA, 74 nt
Filed under: Ktedonospora formicarum
Lineage: Bacteria; Bacillati; Chloroflexota; Ktedonobacteria; Ktedonobacterales; Ktedonobacteraceae
Description: tRNA-Pro
Rfam family: tRNA
About the family: Transfer RNA (tRNA) molecules are approximately 80 nucleotides in length. Their secondary structure includes four short double-helical elements and three loops (D, anti-codon, and T loops). Further hydrogen bonds mediate the characteristic L-shaped molecular structure. tRNAs have two regions of fundamental functional importance: the anti-codon, which is responsible for specific mRNA codon recognition, and the 3' end, to which the tRNAs corresponding amino acid is attached (by aminoacyl-tRNA synthetases). tRNAs cope with the degeneracy of the genetic code in two manners: having more than one tRNA (with a specific anti-codon) for a particular amino acid; and 'wobble' base-pairing, i.e. permitting non-standard base-pairing at the 3rd anti-codon position.
Source: RNAcentral